Molecule: ribosomal RNA, 254 nt
Filed under: uncultured bacterium
Lineage: Bacteria
Description: partial 16S ribosomal RNA
Rfam family: Bacterial small subunit ribosomal RNA
Source: RNAcentral
CACGUAGGGGGCAAGCGUUGUCCGGAUUUAUUGGGCGUAAAGAGCUCGUAGGCGGUUCGGUAAGUCGGGUGUGAAACCUCCAGGCUCAACCUGGAGUCGCCACUCGAUACUGCUGCGACUAGAGUCCGGUAGGGGAGCGUGGAAUUCCUGGUGUAGCGGUGAAAUGCGCAGAUAUCAGGAGGAACACCAAUGGCGAAGGCAGCUCGCUGGGACGGUACUGACGCUGAGACGCGAAAGCGUGGGGAGCGAACAGG